This 507-nucleotide ribosomal RNA is filed under the name uncultured Lachnospiraceae bacterium. Its description in RNAcentral is "partial 16S ribosomal RNA". The record is from RNAcentral. Lineage: Bacteria; Bacillati; Bacillota; Clostridia; Lachnospirales; Lachnospiraceae.
CACGUAGUUAGCCGGGGCUUCUUAGUCAGGUACCGUCAUUUUCUUUCCUGCUGAUAGAGCUUUACGUACCGAAAUACUUCUUCACUCACGCGGCGUCGCUGGAUCAGGGUUUCCCCCCAUUGUCCAAUAUUCCCCACUGCUGCCUCCCGUAGGAGUUUGGGCCGUGUCUCAGUCCCAAUGUGGCCGUCCACCCUCUCAGGCCGGCUACUGAUCGUUGCCUUGGGUGGGCCGUUACCCCGCCAACCAGCUAAUCAGACGCGGGCCCAUCCCAUACCACCGGAGUUUUUCACACACCUUCAUGCGAAGCUGUGCGCUUAUGCGGUUUUAGCACCUGUUUCCAGGUGUUAGUCCCCCGGUAUGGGGCAGGUUCGCCCACGCGUUACUCACCUGUCCGCCACUAACUUACACUUCCGUUAGUCAAUGACUAAGCUACUCUCCUGCCUUUCUGUGUUAACGUCCGUUCGACUUGCAUGUGUUAGGCACGCCGCCAGUCGUUCGAUCCUGACG